GAUGAACGCUGGCGGCGUGCCUAAUACAUGCAAGUCGAGCGAAUGGAUUAAGAGCUUGCUCUUAUGAAGUUAGCGGCGGACGGGUGAGUAACACGUGGGUAACCUGCCCAUAAGACUGGGAUAACUCCGGGAAACCGGGGCUAAUACCGGAUAACAUUUUGAACCGCAUGGUUCGAAGUUGAAAGGCGGCUUCGGCUGUCACUUAUGGAUGGACCCGCGUCGCAUUAGCUAGUUGGUGAGGUAACGGCUCACCAAGGCAACGAUGCGUAGCCGACCCGAGAGGGUGAUCGGCCACACUGGGACUGAGACACGGCCCAGACUCCUACGGGAGGCAGCAGUAGGGAAUCUUCCGCAAUGGACGAAAGUCUGACGGAGCAACGCCGCGUGAGUGAUGAAGGCUUUCGGGUCGUAAAACUCUGUUGUUAGGGAAGAACAAGUGUUAGUUGAAUAAGCUGGCACCCUGACGGUACCUAACCAGAAAGCCACGGCUAACUACGUGCCAGCCGCCGCCGUAA
Molecule: ribosomal RNA, 515 nt
Filed under: uncultured bacterium
Lineage: Bacteria
Description: partial 16S ribosomal RNA
Rfam family: Bacterial small subunit ribosomal RNA
Source: RNAcentral